CUGAACGCUGGCGGCGUGCCUAAUACAUGCCAGUCGAGCGAACGGACGAGAAGCUUGCUUCUCUGAUGUUCGCGGCGGACGGGUGAGUAACCCGUGGAUAACCUACCUAUAAGACUGGGAUAACUUCGGGAAACCGGAGCUAAUACCGGAUAAUAUUUUGAACCGCAUGGUUCAAAAGUGAAAGACGGUCUUGCUGUCACUUAUAGAUGGAUCCGCGCUGCAUUAGCUAGUUGGUAAGGUAACGGCUUACCAAGGCAACGAUGCAUAGCCGACCUGAGAGGGUGAUCGGCCACACUGUAACUGAGACACGGUCCAGACUCCUACGGUGGGCAGCAGUAGGGAAUCUUCCGCAAUGGGCGAAAGCCUGACGUAGCAACGCCGCGUGAGUGAUGAAGGUCUUCGGAUCGUAAAACUCUGUUAGUAGGGAAGAACAUAUGUGUAAGUAACUGUGCACAUCUUGACGGUACCUAAUCAGAAAGCCACGGCUAACUACGUG
RNAcentral lists this ribosomal RNA (496 nucleotides) under uncultured bacterium. RNAcentral's name for it is "partial 16S ribosomal RNA". It matches the Rfam family "Bacterial small subunit ribosomal RNA", at positions 30 to 507 of the family's 1533-position model. The record is from RNAcentral.